ACGUAUGGUGCAAGCGUUGUUCGGAAUCAUUGGGCGUAAAGGGUAUGUAGGCGGAUAUGUAAGUCAGAUGUGAAAACUACGAGCUCAACUCGUAGCCUGCAUUUGAUACUGUGUAUCUAGAAUUUGGGAGAGGCAAGGGGAAUUCCUGGUGUAGCGGUGAAAUGCGUAGAUAUCAGGAGGAACACCGGUGGCGUAAGCGCCUUGCUGGCCUAAAAUUGACGCUGAGAUACGAAAGUGUGGGGAGUGAACGGGAUUAGAUACCCCGGUAAUCCACACCAUAAACGUUGUCUACCAGUCGUUAGAGGUAUCAACCCUUCUAGUGACGAACCUAACGGAUUAAGUAGACCGCCUGGGGACUAUGCUCGCAAGAGUA
RNAcentral lists this ribosomal RNA (373 nucleotides) under uncultured bacterium. RNAcentral describes it as "bacterial SSU rRNA". It matches the Rfam family "Bacterial small subunit ribosomal RNA", at positions 525 to 896 of the family's 1533-position model. The record is from RNAcentral.